GCCUGAUCCAGCCAUGCCGCGUGCGUGAUGAAGGCCUUCGGGUUGUAAAGCUCUUUUGUCCGGGAAGAAACGGUCUGAGCUAAUACCUUGGGCUACUGACGGUACCUGAAGAAUAAGCACCGGCUAACUACGUGCCAGCAGCCGCGGUAAUACGUAGGGUGCAAGCGUUAAUCGGAAUUACUGGGCGUAAAGCGUGCGCAGGCGGUUUUGCAAGACAGAUGUGAAAUCCCCGGGCUCAACCUGGGAAUUGCAUUUGAGACUGCCGGGCUGGAGUGCGGUAGAGGGGGAUGGAAUUCCCCGUGUAGCAGUGAAAUGCGUAAAGGUGGGGAGGAACACCGAUGGCGAAGGCGAUCCCCUGGACCUGUACUGACACUCAUGCUCGAAAGCGUGGGGAGCAAACAGGAUUAGAUACCCUGGUAGUCCACGCCCUAAACGAUGCGACUGGUUGUUGGACGGCUUGCUGUUCUCAAACGAGGCUCUUACGUGAAGUUGACCGCCUGGGGAGUGUAGUCGCAAGGGACAGACUCUCAGGAGAAGUGAGGGACCCGCACAAACGCUGGAUGAUGUGUGUUA
RNAcentral lists this ribosomal RNA (573 nucleotides) under proteobacterium So1Pw_1092. RNAcentral's name for it is "bacterial SSU rRNA". It matches the Rfam family "Bacterial small subunit ribosomal RNA", at positions 381 to 948 of the family's 1533-position model. The record is from RNAcentral. Lineage: Bacteria; Pseudomonadati; Pseudomonadota.